RNAcentral lists this long non-coding RNA (1272 nucleotides) under Monodelphis domestica (gray short-tailed opossum). Its description in RNAcentral is "lncRNA (ENSMODG00000043533.1)". The record is from RNAcentral. Lineage: Eukaryota; Metazoa; Chordata; Mammalia; Didelphimorphia; Didelphidae.
AUGUGGUUGGUCAAUGGACUUCCUGCUUGAGUUAGGAGCUGAUGCCCCUGAGGUUUCCAGCAUCAUGUCCUGCCCUUUUUGGGGUCCUGUAUUGUAUCCAUUUCUGGGCACAACAUUUUAAGCUGCGAAUUGAUAAAAUAUUGAGUCCAGAGGAGAAGCCACACAGCCAAAGGACCUCUCCCAGUCAUAUCCUAUGAGGUUUGGUUGUAAGCAUUGCAGAUUAGAGAGCCAUGCCUGGAGAUGGGAAGUCCUGGGUUUAAAUCUGACCUCAGAUUCUUCCAGGUUGUGUGACCUUGGGCAAGUCACUUAACCCCAAUUGUUAGUGCUUCCUGCUCUUCUGCCUUAGAACCAAUACUUAGUAUUAAUUCUAAGACAGAAGAUGAGGGGUUCAAAAAAGAAACCAUUGAAGCUGUUUAGUCUGUGGGCUAAAAGACUCUGGGGUAAGGGUGGGGGCAGGACAUGGAUGCCAUCUUUAAGAACAGAAGAAAAAAGCAAUUAGACUUGUUCUGCUCUGCCCUGGAAGGUUAGAGUCAGGUGUGAUGGAAGUCAGGGAGGUGGAAGGUGCAAAGAGGCAGAUUUAGUUUUCUGGAGUGAAAUGGGCUGGAAGGACAGGCUCACCCUUGAUGGGAGAUUUUCAGCAGGGACCUGAUGACCAUUUGCCAAAGAUACUGCAGAGGGAUUCUUGGGGUCCAACCUCUGAGGCCCCUUCUAGUUGUGAGAUGCUGGGAUUCUUUGAGUCUUCAGUUACAAGGGAUGGUAAUGGGCAUUUUGUCUGUUCUAGGGAAGGGAGGGAGGGACGAAGGAAAUGAGAAAGGGAAGGAGGGAGGAAGGAAGUGAUGAGGGAGGAAGAAAGGAAGGGAGAGGAAGGAAGUGAUGAAGGAGGAAGAGAGGAAGGAAGGGAUGAAGGAAGGAAGUGAUGAGGGAGGAAGAAAGGAAGGGAGGGAGGGAGGAAGGAAGGGAGGGAGGGAGGAAGGAAGGGAGGGAGGGAGGAAGGAAGGAAGGAAGGGAAGGAGAGAGAGAGAAGGAGAGAGGGGAGAGAGACAUGAGGGAGCUGGGCUAGAACACAAGAUUACUGGUCAUAUGAUAAAGGUUGCACAUGUACUAUCAUAUAAUACACAUUUCCACGUUCAUCGUGGAAAUGGUUUGAUAAAGAAGACCCAGAUGCUUCCAUAGAGAAACAUUUGUGGAGGAAGUAAAGGGAAAGAUGGCGCACUUCUGUGGUGGUGGAGCCCCUUGGAGCUGUCCUGGAUCCUUGCCUUGUGGGUAACAGUU